RNAcentral lists this long non-coding RNA (1979 nucleotides) under Mus spicilegus (steppe mouse). RNAcentral's name for it is "lncRNA (ENSMSIG00000006423.1)". The record is from RNAcentral. Lineage: Eukaryota; Metazoa; Chordata; Mammalia; Rodentia; Muridae.
CGUAGAAUUUGCAUUUCCUACUCUACCUGUAGUAAGAACAUUUAAGAAAAUCUCAGGGCUAUGACACAAUAUUGUCAAGUGUAGUCACUCACCAUGCCUAGGAGAAGCGUAGCCACAGUGUCGGGCAUGGCAGCGGGGACAGAAAGCUGAGAGUCUCAGCAUGACACAGAGAGGGCAAGCUGGAAGCUGCAUGAUGUUUUAAACCCUCAAAGCCAGCCUCCAGUGAUGUACCUCCUCCCACAGGCUAUACAUUCUGUACCUCCCCCAAACAGCAACGUCAACUGAGGACCAAGUGUUUAAACAUUUGAGACUGGAGGAUCUUCUCAUUCAAACCACCAUAGGGUUGUACCUUGGAUUCCACACAGAGAUGAUAUCAAGUCAUAUCUAUUUUGCAGAGUCUGGCUUAUCAACAUAAUGUGCCCAGCAUCAUCCACAUGGAGGCUUUAGUUAUAAUCCCCGUGCACUGGUUUGGACCCUGGAAUUCGUUUGAAGAGAUGUAGAUCAUCAGCUGAGUGCCAUGUGCCAACCGUGAGACCCAGACUGAUGUUCGACAUGUUUGUAGUUUUGGGGAAGUUCAGGGCUCUGUUUAAUUUUCACGUCCGCAUGUUUGGUGUCCUUUGAUGAAGUAUGUCGUCUGCUCUUCAAAACUUCCCUGCUGGUAAAAGACAUGCAUUUAUUUUUAAAUGCAUUCAUAAUUUCUGCUCUAUAGGAAUAAACUAUGCCUCCGGGAAAGAUGCGCAUUGCACGGAUACACUUUGUGAAGGCCAAGAACCUGGAAACACCUGGCCCAGAUCCUGACUGCUAUCAACACACCAACUUUGCCCAGCUUGAAAACAAAGCAGAGCAAAACAAGACAAAGGCAAAGACAAACAACAACAACAACAACAACAACAACAACAACAAAUCCCCCAAAGACCAAAACCAAAACAAAAAACCCACCAAAACCUCUGUUCCUUUUGUGUUUUAUUUUCCUCAUUAGUCAUUCCUGUUAGUGAGCACACACACGCCACGCCUCAUCAAAACAUACUGUACCUUAUUUCCAUGUCACCCCCUCCCCACUUAUUCUUCUUCUGAACAAAAACACUCUAUUCACAUUUUCUCCCUCCUCCUAGUCUUCCUCAGGUCUACUCCAGGCAAGCUCACACCCCACCACCAAGGAAACCCUUACAGUGAAGCUUCCGGCGACCUCUGCACUGCCAAGGCCCACUCUGAAGUCCCAGCUCUUGUCUUGGUCAACGAGUCACAGUCACUGACUUCGGGGGCUGAUGAAUCCCUCCUGUCCUGAAACACUUGCUUCUCUUGGCUCGCUCUCGGGACUCUGAACUCUUGCAUCUCUCUGGCCAUGUCCUUUUGCCUCCUUGUGCUUCCCUAGACUCCAAUAGAUGGUGAUUUUCCAUGUCUCAGUCCUUGACCUUUCCUGUCAAGGCUUACUCUCUGGUUGACAUCAUGCAGUCUCAUGGUUGAAGCCUCAUCUAUAUUUGGAUUCUCUUGGUUCCGAGUUUCUAUCUUUAGCCUGAACUUCUUCCUUUAACUCUCUGCUUGCACAUCCCAUGGCUUCCUUACUGUCAGUACCUUGCAGCUAGUAGAACUCAUAGUGCACUCUGUCUGAGCUCCUGACAGUCCACACUUCCACUCGCCUCCAGCAGCCUGUGCUUUGUCUGCUGACUCUAUUGUCACCCUUCUUUUUUGUUGUCACAUUGGAAAUUCUUUUGGUUUCACUUUCAAGACCUCCCCAGAAACCACACACUUGUCGCCAUCUGACAGGCUACCUCUAUCCUGGUCUAAAACCUGUCAAUUGCCUAUGAACUAAACAAACAGCCUGCACAAGUACAGACCCUGAAGUCCCACCAUGCAGACUGGAUGCAGUGGCUCUGCCAGUAAAGAAUGACCUGAGCAAGGUGCUCAACUCUGCUUCUCCAGGUUCCUCACUGGGAAGACUGGGAUCCUAACAAUAAUGCUGCUACUAUGACUAGAAGUUG